This 761-nucleotide ribosomal RNA is filed under the name uncultured bacterium. RNAcentral's name for it is "bacterial SSU rRNA". It matches the Rfam family "Bacterial small subunit ribosomal RNA", at positions 625 to 1390 of the family's 1533-position model. The record is from RNAcentral.
UCUCGAAACUGUAUCCCUUGAGUAUCGGAGAGGCAAGCGGAAUUCCUAGUGUAGCGGUGAAAUGCGUAGAUAUUAGGAGGAACACCAGUGGCGAAGGCGGCUUGCUGGACGACAACUGACGCUGAGGCGCGAAAGCGUGGGGAGCAAACAGGAUUAGAUACCCUGGUAGUCCACGCUGUAAACGAUGAAUACUAGGUGUGGGAGGACUGACCCCUUCCGUGCCGCAGUUAACACAAUAAGUAUUCCACCUGGGGAGUACGACCGCAAGGUUGAAACUCAAAGGAAUUGACGGGGGCCCGCACAGGCAGUGGAUUAUGUGGUUUAAUUCGACGCAACGCGAAGAACCUUACCAGGAUUUGACAUCCAACUAACGAAGCAGAGAUGCAUUAGGUGCCCUUCGGGGAAAGUUGAGACAGGUGGUGCAUGGUUGUCGUCAGCUCGUGUCGUGAGAUGUUGGGUUAAGUCCCGCAACGAGCGCAACCCCUAUUGUUAGUUGCUACGCAAGAGCACUCUAGCGAGACUGCCGUUGACAAAACGGAGGAAGGCGGGGACGACGUCAAAUCAUCAUGCCCCUUAUGUCCUGUGCUACACACGUAAUACAAUGGCCGUCAACAAAGGGAAGCAAAGCCGCGAGGUGCAGCAAACCCCCAAAAACGGUCUCAGUUCGGAUUGCAGGCUGCAACUCGCCUGCAUAAAGCUGGAAUUGCUAGUAAUCGUGAUCAGCAUGCCACGGUGAAUACGUUCCCUGGGCCUGUACACAC